RNAcentral lists this ribosomal RNA (434 nucleotides) under uncultured Lachnospiraceae bacterium. RNAcentral describes it as "partial 16S ribosomal RNA". It matches the Rfam family "Bacterial small subunit ribosomal RNA", at positions 341 to 792 of the family's 1533-position model. The record is from RNAcentral. Lineage: Bacteria; Bacillati; Bacillota; Clostridia; Lachnospirales; Lachnospiraceae.
ACGGAAGGCAGCAGUGGGGAAUAUUGGACAAUGGAGGCAACUCUGAUCCAGCGACGCCGCGUGAGUGAAGAAGUAUUUCGGUAUGUAAAGCUCUAUCAGCAGGGAAGAUGAUGACGGUACCUGACUAAGAAGCACCGGCUAAAUACGUGCCAGCAGCCGCGGUAAUACGUAUGGUGCAAGCGUUAUCCGGAUUUACUGGGUGUAAAGGGAGCGUAGGCGGUUUUAUAAGUCUGAAGUGAAAGCCCGGGGCUCAACCCCGGGACUGCUUUGGAAACUGUAGAACUAGAGUGUCGGAAGGGUAAGUGGAAUUCCUAGUGUAGCGGUGAAAUGCGUAGAUAUUAGGAGGAACACCAGUGGCGAAGGCGGCUUACUGGACGAUUACUGACGCUGAGGCUCGAAAGCGUGGGGAGCAAACAGGAUUAGAUACCCUGGUA